RNAcentral lists this ribosomal RNA (325 nucleotides) under uncultured Chlorobiota bacterium. RNAcentral describes it as "bacterial SSU rRNA". It matches the Rfam family "Bacterial small subunit ribosomal RNA", at positions 28 to 351 of the family's 1533-position model. Lineage: Bacteria; Pseudomonadati; Chlorobiota. The record is from RNAcentral.
GACGAACGCUGGCGGCGUGCUUAAUACAUGCAAGUCUACUUGUCUUAUGGUAGCAAUAUUAUAAGAAGAGUGGCGCACGGGUGAGUAACACGUAGGUAAUCUACCCUCAGGACUGACAUAAUUCAGCGAAAGCUGGACUAAUAUCAGAUAAAACAACGAUCUGGCAUCAGGUUGUUGUCAAAGCUCCGGUACCUGAAGAUGAGCCUGCGGUCCAUUAGGCAGUUGGCGGGGUAAAAGCCCACCAAACCAACGAUGGAUAGCUGGUCUGAGAGGAUGAUCAGCCACACUGGAACUGAGACACGGUCCAGACACCUACGGGUGGCUG